CAGGCCUAACACAUGCAAGUCGGACGCCCCGCAAGGGGACUGGCGCAAGGGUGAGUAAGGCGACGGUAACCAACCCCGCGAUUGGGGAUAGCCGGGGGAAACCUCGGGUAAUACCCAGCGACGUGGCGUGCCGGCAUCGGCAUGCCACCAAAGAUCCGUCGUCGCGGGACGGGCCGUCGUGGUAUUAGCUUGUUGGCGGGGUGACGGCCCACCAAGGCUGUGAUGCGUACCGGGCGUGCGAGCGUGGCCCGGCACACUGGGACUGAGACACUGCCCAGACUCCUACGGGAGGCUGCAGUCGAGAAUCUUCGGCAAUGGGCGCCAGCCUGACCGAGCGACGCCGCGUGGAGGACGAAGGCCUUCGGGUUGUAAACUCCUGUCGAGGGGGAGGAAGGCGUGAGAUUGACCGAUCGCUGGAGGAAGCACGGGCUAACUUCGUGCCAGCAGCCGCGGUGAU
Molecule: ribosomal RNA, 457 nt
Filed under: uncultured bacterium
Lineage: Bacteria
Description: bacterial SSU rRNA
Rfam family: Bacterial small subunit ribosomal RNA
Source: RNAcentral